CUGCUAUUGUUAGACGUUAUAGUAAGAAUGGCAGAAUUUUCUUUGAUGAUUACGUUGCUUGCUGUGUGAAGCUUCGAGCAUUGACAGAUUUCUUUAGGAGAAGAGACCACUUGCAACAAGGGUGUGUGAACUUAAUUUAUGAUGACUUUUUGCAGGGGACCAUGGUAAUUUGAAUGCCUUGUAUUUGAAAGCAGAAGAAAUACUGUGAAUUUGUUUGCUUGGAAGAAGUGAACUG
Non-coding RNA from Urocitellus parryii (Arctic ground squirrel), 235 nucleotides. The record is from RefSeq and is a predicted model, not a curated record. Lineage: Eukaryota; Metazoa; Chordata; Mammalia; Rodentia; Sciuridae.